ACGUAGGUGGCGAGCGUUGUUCGGAUUCACUGGGCUUAAAGGGCGCGUAGGCGGGCGGUCAAGUCGGGGGUGAAAUCUUUCAGCUUAACUGGAAACGUGCCUUCGAUACUGAUCGUCUUGAGGGAGGUAGGGGCAUGUGGAACUUCCGGUGGAGCGGUGAAAUGCGUAGAUAUCGGAAGGAACGCCGGUGGCGAAAGCGACGUGCUGGACCUCUUCUGACGCUGAGGCGCGAAAGCUAGGGGAGCAAACGGGA
Molecule: ribosomal RNA, 253 nt
Filed under: uncultured prokaryote
Description: partial 16S ribosomal RNA
Rfam family: Bacterial small subunit ribosomal RNA
Source: RNAcentral